This 510-nucleotide ribosomal RNA is filed under the name uncultured bacterium. Its description in RNAcentral is "partial 16S ribosomal RNA". It matches the Rfam family "Bacterial small subunit ribosomal RNA", at positions 28 to 507 of the family's 1533-position model. The record is from RNAcentral.
GACGAACGCUGGCGGCGUGCUUAACACAUGCAAGUCGAACGAAGAGCGAUGGAAGCUUGCUUCUCUCAAUCUUAGUGGCGAACGGGUGAGUAACGCGUAAUCAACCUGCCCUUCAGAGGGGGACAACAGUUGGAAACGACUGCUAAUACCGCAUACGAUCUAAUCUCGGCAUCGAGGAUAGAUGAAAGGUGGCCUCUACAUGUAAGCUAUCACUGAAGGAGGGGAUUGCGUCUGAUUAGCUAGUUGGAGGGGUAACGGCCCACCAAAGCGAUGAUCAGUAGCCGGUCUGAGAGGAUGAACGGCCACAUUGGGACUGAGACACGGCCCAGACUCCUACGGGAGGCAGCAGUGGGGAAUCUUCCGCAAUGGACGAAAGUCUGACGGAGCAACGCCGCGUGAGUGAUGACGGCCUUCGGGUUGUAAAGCUCUGUUAAUCGGGACGAAAGGCCUUCUUGCGAAUAGUGAGAAGGAUUGACGGUACCGGAAUAGAAAGCCACGGCUAACUACGUG